This 253-nucleotide ribosomal RNA is filed under the name uncultured bacterium. RNAcentral describes it as "partial 16S ribosomal RNA". It matches the Rfam family "Bacterial small subunit ribosomal RNA", at positions 524 to 776 of the family's 1533-position model. The record is from RNAcentral.
UACGUAGGGUGCGAGCGUUAAUCGGAAUUACUGGGCGUAAAGCGUGCGCAGGCGGUUUUGUAAGCCAGAUGUGAAAUCCCCGGGCUUAACCUGGGAAUGGCAUUUGGGACUGCAAGGCUUGAGUUUGGCAGAGGAGACUGGAAUUCCUGGUGUAGCAGUGAAAUGCGUAGAGAUGUGGAGGAACACCGAUGGCGAAGGCAGCCCCCUGGGUCAAGAUUGACGCUCAUGCACGAAAGCGUGGGGAGCAAACAGG